This 76-nucleotide microRNA precursor is filed under the name Anopheles gambiae (African malaria mosquito). Its description in RNAcentral is "microRNA aga-mir-10373 precursor". Lineage: Eukaryota; Metazoa; Arthropoda; Insecta; Diptera; Culicidae. The record is from miRBase by way of RNAcentral.
AAUACGUCUAGCUUUGGUAGCUUCUUAGAGCAAUUGUUUAUUGAUUUGCAGGAGAGAAACAUUUGUGAAGGCGUAU